AUAUCCGAAGAAACCGGUCCGAAUGUCCAAACUAUAUACAAUGUAAUUAUAUGAAACAUGAAUAUAUACUUCAAAUAUUCAAUUUCAUAUUUAUUUUUAUAUGGUAUCUAACAAUAAGUAUUAAAAAUUUAAAUAACUACUUUAAAUACUUAAUUAUAUAUAAAUAAGUAUAUAUUUCUUAUGUUUUGCUUUUAAAUUUUAGAUUUUAUUUCGGGUAUAUCCGAACCGAUCCGAUAUAACCUGAAUCCGAAUGAUAUAUGGUUACUUUAUGGGUUAUAUGAUGUGAUGCAAAACCGACCUGAACCCGAUGUGUUAUAUCUGAACCCGAUCCGUACUUGCAAAUUUACUAGAAUGAGACCUAAGAGGUGUUAUCAAAAAGAACCAAAAUCCAAAAACCCGACCCGAACGCCAACGGGUACCCGAACGCCAACGGGUACCCGAACGCCCAGGCCUAGUUAUACGAGUUGUAGAAGGUAUGUUUUAUAUAUUCGAACAAUGACCUGAGAUUAUAUUUGAUCUGAAUGCAAGUAGUGUUUUGUUAUCGAUGAUGAUCAAGAACCAUUGAUUUCUCAAUUCAAGAUUGGAGAUGAAACCUACUCAUCAAAAAUGAUUACAAAUCUAAAACCUGGUGAGGAACAAGAAGAUCCAGAAAGGAGGUAUGUUGAGUAAAUAAGAGUUUAUGAUCGGAUAACUUAGAGAGAGAGUGAUUGAUGAGGAUAUGAAGAUUGAAGAGAGAACGUUGUGGGAAAUUAAGCAAGUAAUUACACUUGGACUUAUGUUCACUAACAAAUCUCUGUCAAAGCAAAUCAAACUUCUACGCAGAUUUAUGACAUGGUGUUUCUUCGUAUGAGUCUAGCUCAAGGCAUCAAUCAGAUAUGUAAUUAGGUUGUGUGUAUUGAAGAAUUGAAGCUUUACUCUUUUGUUUUGAUUUUAAUAGAUAAGAUAAUUCUUUUCCGAUUUCAAGAUAUAUUUUGUAUACAACCAAUAAAAUUGCACCUUACUUUUUA
This is a long non-coding RNA of Brassica napus (rape), 1007 nucleotides long. RefSeq lists it as uncharacterized. Lineage: Eukaryota; Viridiplantae; Streptophyta; Magnoliopsida; Brassicales; Brassicaceae. The transcript is spliced from 2 exons. The record is from RefSeq and is a predicted model, not a curated record.